RNAcentral lists this long non-coding RNA (1519 nucleotides) under Mus musculus (house mouse). Its description in RNAcentral is "predicted gene 7538 (Gm7538)". Lineage: Eukaryota; Metazoa; Chordata; Mammalia; Rodentia; Muridae. The record is from RNAcentral.
AUGCAGGCACAUCCCUCUGCCUGCUCUCACCGUUCAGUGGCACUGCAUCUGGGGAGCAAGCCUUCAACCUGGAAGCCUUUGGCAGUGUAUUCAUUUCAGCUCUGCAAGAGGCAACGGCCCACCAUAAAUACCAACACCUACAACAGAUCUUGCACACCAUGAAGCUCUACGAUUUGACUUGUGUGGCCGGGCAGUGACAGGCAUGGAUGCUCAUCUCCUUAGCACUGUGAUGACACGUGUUCACCUCCACACCAGGCACCAUCUUAUGGAGGUUCUGUGGCACCAAACUCUGGUCCGAGUGCUUGGGAAACAAACUCUUUGCUGACUAAGUGAGAUUCCCAGCCCAGUCGAGCAUCUUUAUAAGACAAAUACGAAAGGAAGUUUGAGAGGCUGGGGGGAGAGGUGUCACACAGUACAUGGGGUCUUCCAGUGGAUGUUGGGAUCAGAGAUGCAGCCACACCCCAAAGAUGCCUCUGACCCUUGAGGCUGGAAAGAGGAGGGCGAGUCCCCACCCACUCCAGGUCUCCCACAGGAUGUGCAGCCCUGCUGGACAUUGGCUUCCACAUCAGUGAUAAUGAGUUCUUGCUUCUGGCUUUCAGUACUAUGGGCAAGUGACUUUCAGUUGCCUGAAGCCAGUGGUUCCCAAACCUGCAAAUUCUGGGUCCCUUUAGUACAGUUCCCCAUUUUGUGGUGAUCCCCCAACCAUAAAAUUAUUUCGUUGCUACUUCAUAACUGCAACUUUGAUACUCUUAUGAGUCCUUAUGUAAAUAUCUGAUAUGCAGGAUAUCUGAUAUGCUAACCCCCCCAUGCAAAAGGGCCACUUGAUCCCCCAAAGAGUCGUGACCCCCCCCCCAGGUUGAGAACCACUGCCUUAAAACUGCCAUGUGAAUGGUAACUCUUCAUCGUAGUCAUAGAUCUGCCAACCCCUGAGCAGUUUACUGUUUCCUUGUCAAGAGGUCGGAUGAAAUCAAACGAGCCAGGACCAGGUGCCCAGCUCUGGCGCUCGCUGGCUGUGUAGCCUCUCACAGCUCCUGUCCUCGCUGUCAGCUUUCUUACUUACAAAAUGAAUGUAACCAUCUUCCCAUAUGAUUUGUAGGUAGGUUUGCAUCAGCUGCUGUUCUCGUGAUGGGGACUGAAUAUCUGAUGAAAGGAAGGGAAAGUUUACUUGGGGGGGGGGGUCUGAGGGGACAGUUCCAUUACAUUUGAGAUAGCAAGAGUGUGAUGUAACUAGCCACAUGGCACCAUGGCCGCAAAGUGGAAAGAGACGAGAUGCUGGUUUUCCCCUUUUGAUUCAGUCCAGGAUCCUGUCCCAGGGAAUGGCGCUGCACGCGGCCCAGAGGGUGGGUCUUCCCACCUCACUUAAACCUCUCUGGGAAUUCCUUCAAAGACUUACCCAGGGGUGCGUCCCUUAAGUGAGUCUAAAUCCAUAAACCUGACAGUUAAGAUUAACCAUCAAGGGAUUAAUAAUGUGUUUUAAGUUCUUAGUGGAGUGCUGAAUAAAUGGCUGGACUGUCUUACA